This is a long non-coding RNA of Acanthochromis polyacanthus (spiny chromis), 436 nucleotides long. RefSeq lists it as uncharacterized. The record is from RefSeq and is a predicted model, not a curated record. The transcript has 5 exons. NCBI's taxonomy places the organism in Eukaryota, Metazoa, Chordata, Actinopteri, Pomacentridae.
CAUUUUUCACCAGCAGAGUCCGUUACCCAACUUUCGGCCUGCAAGUACAACAGGUGAGCUGAACAAACGCUGGACUUUCCCCAAGCUAAUCCUCUGGGCUUCAUGAAACACCGCCUCCAUGAAGCCUCGCUGAGUUUCAACCAGCGGAGGUGAAGAUGAAGUUUGUUCAGCUCCAGUUGAAGGAUCUUCCAGGAUCUGAGGAAAGCCAGGCGUCUGUACAGUUAAAGGAUGUGGAGGAGGAAGCGGAACGGCUGCUGCUGCUGUAAACCAGCCGCCACCCAACCGGCCAAUCAGGAGACAGACACACGACUACCUGCUCAGUGACAUCUCCGCUUCCAGCCCCGGUUCCAGACGCUGCUGCUGCUGCAGCUGCUGCUGCUGAUGAUGAAGCUGCUGCUGCUCCGCUCGGUGCCCCAGAUGCAGCUGCAGCUCCAGG